This 468-nucleotide ribosomal RNA is filed under the name uncultured bacterium. Its description in RNAcentral is "partial 16S ribosomal RNA". It matches the Rfam family "Bacterial small subunit ribosomal RNA", at positions 28 to 507 of the family's 1533-position model. The record is from RNAcentral.
GACGAACGCUGGCGGCGUGCUUAACACAUGCAAGUCGAACGGAAAGGCCCUGCUUUUGUGGGGUGCUCGAGUGGCGAACGGGUGAGUAACACGUGAGUAACCUGCCCUUGACUUUGGGAUAACUUCAGGAAACUGGGGCUAAUCCCGGAUAGGAGCUCCUGCCUCAUGGUGGGGGUUGGAAAGUUUCGGCGGUUGGGGAUGGACACGCGGCUUAUCGGCUUGUUGGUGGGGUAGUGGCUUACCAAGGCUUUGACGGGUAGCCGGCCUGGGAGGGUGACCGGCCACGUUGGGACUGAGAUACGGCCCAGACUCCUACGGGAGGCAGCAGUGGGGAAUAUUGCACAAUGGGCGGAAGCCUGAUGCAGCAACGCCGCGUGCGGGAUGACGGCCUUCGGGUUGUAAACCGCUUUCGCCUGUGACGAAGCGUGAGUGACGGUAAUGGGUAAAGAAGCACCGGCUAACUACGUG